This 492-nucleotide ribosomal RNA is filed under the name uncultured bacterium. RNAcentral describes it as "partial 16S ribosomal RNA". It matches the Rfam family "Bacterial small subunit ribosomal RNA", at positions 29 to 507 of the family's 1533-position model. The record is from RNAcentral.
AGUGAACGCUGGCGGUAGGCCUAACACAUGCGAGUCGAGCGGCAGCACAGUAAGAGCUUGCUCUUACGGGUGGCGAGUGGCGGACGGGUGAGGAAUACAUCGGAAUCUACUUUUUCGUGGGGGAUAACGUAGGGAAACUUACGCUAAUACCGCAUACGACCUACGGGUGAAAGCAGGGGAUCUUCGGACCUUGCGCGAUUGAAUGAGCCGAUGUCGGAUUAGCUAGUUGGCGGGGUAAAGGCCCACCAAGGCGACGAUCCGUAGCUGGUCUGAGAGGAUGAUCAGCCACACUGGAACUGAGACACGGUCCAGACUCCUACGGGAGGCAGCAGUGGGGAAUAUUGGACAAUGGGCGCAAGCCUGAUCCAGCCAUACCGCGUGGGUGAAGAAGGCCUUCGGGUUGUAAAGCCCUUUUGUCGGGAAAGAAAAGCAGCAGGUUAAUACCCCGCUGUUCUGACGGUACCCAAAGAAUAAGCACCGGCUAACUUCGUG